GCCCCCAUAGCUCAAAUGGAUAGAGCGGCUCCGUCCUAAGGAGAAGGUUGCAUGUUCAAGUCAUGCUGGGGGCA
Molecule: transfer RNA, 74 nt
Filed under: Candidatus Omnitrophota bacterium
Lineage: Bacteria; Pseudomonadati; Candidatus Omnitrophota
Description: Candidatus Omnitrophica bacterium tRNA-Arg
Rfam family: tRNA
About the family: Transfer RNA (tRNA) molecules are approximately 80 nucleotides in length. Their secondary structure includes four short double-helical elements and three loops (D, anti-codon, and T loops). Further hydrogen bonds mediate the characteristic L-shaped molecular structure. tRNAs have two regions of fundamental functional importance: the anti-codon, which is responsible for specific mRNA codon recognition, and the 3' end, to which the tRNAs corresponding amino acid is attached (by aminoacyl-tRNA synthetases). tRNAs cope with the degeneracy of the genetic code in two manners: having more than one tRNA (with a specific anti-codon) for a particular amino acid; and 'wobble' base-pairing, i.e. permitting non-standard base-pairing at the 3rd anti-codon position.
Source: RNAcentral